RNAcentral lists this ribosomal RNA (561 nucleotides) under uncultured bacterium. RNAcentral's name for it is "bacterial SSU rRNA". It matches the Rfam family "Bacterial small subunit ribosomal RNA", at positions 338 to 916 of the family's 1533-position model. The record is from RNAcentral.
CCUACGGGAGGCAGCAGUGGGGAAUCUUGCGCAAUGGGCGAAAGCCUGACGCAGCAACGCCGCGUGCGGGAUGAAGGCCUUCGGGUUGUAAACCGCUUUCAGCAGGGACGAAAAUGACGGUACCUGCAGAAGAAGCCCCGGCUAACUACGUGCCAGCAGCCGCGGUAAUACGUAGGGGGCAAGCGUUGUCCGGAUUUAUUGGGCGUAAAGAGCUCGUAGGCGGUUCCGUAAGUCGAGUGUGAAAAAUCUGGGCUCAACCCAGUGGAGCACUCGAUACUGCGGUGACUAGAGUACGGUAGAGGAGUGUGGAAUUCCUGGUGUAGCGGUGAAAUGCGCAGAUAUCAGGAGGAACACCAACGGCGAAGGCAGCACUCUGGGCCGGUACUGACGCUGAGGAGCGAAAGCGUGGGGAGCAAACAGGAUUAGAUACCCUGGUAGUCCACGCCGUAAACGUUGGGCACUAGGUGUGGGAAGGAAUCAACCCUUUCCGUGCCGUAGCUAACGCAUUAAGUGCCCCGCCUGGGGAGUCGGCCGCAAGGCAAAACUCAAAUGAAUUGACGG